AUAUCAAACAAAGAAAGUGUUAACUGAAUGGACUGAACUAAUAGAAAACUGAAGUAAUUUUUGACUUUUGCUUGGAAUACUGCUGAUUCUUGUUUUGAUUUCCAGAGUCAA
Sapajus apella (tufted capuchin) is the source of this 111-nucleotide long non-coding RNA. RefSeq lists it as uncharacterized. The record is from RefSeq and is a predicted model, not a curated record. NCBI's taxonomy places the organism in Eukaryota, Metazoa, Chordata, Mammalia, Primates, Cebidae. The transcript has 3 exons.